AACGAUGUGGGAAGGCUAAGACAGCUAGGAGGUUGGCUUAGAAGCAGCCACCCUUUAAAGAAAGCGUAAUAGCUCACUAGUCGAGUCGGCCUGCGCGGAAGAUGUAACGGGGCUAAGCAAUAUACCGAAGCUGCGGCAGCAGACAUCACUUAAAAUCAUUUGUUUAUUCAAGCUAACAGCAACGUGACAUUUUUUGUCACCUGCUGGUAAAGCGUUUUUCGAAACGUCGAGAGAUGUGAGGAGAUAAAGAUAAGUAAGUGGUUUUAAGGAUGUCUGCUGGGUAGGGGAGCGUUGUGUAAGUGGCUGAAGGCAAGCUGUGAGGCUUGCUGGACAUAUCACAAGUGCGAAUGCUGACAUGAGUAACGAUAAUGGGGGUGAAAAACCCCCACGCCGGAAGACCAAGGUUUCCUGUCC
Molecule: ribosomal RNA, 414 nt
Filed under: Aliiglaciecola sp. M165
Lineage: Bacteria; Pseudomonadati; Pseudomonadota; Gammaproteobacteria; Alteromonadales; Alteromonadaceae
Description: Bacterial large subunit ribosomal RNA
Rfam family: Bacterial large subunit ribosomal RNA
Source: Rfam by way of RNAcentral